Molecule: ribosomal RNA, 492 nt
Filed under: uncultured bacterium
Lineage: Bacteria
Description: partial 16S ribosomal RNA
Rfam family: Bacterial small subunit ribosomal RNA
Source: RNAcentral
AGUGAACGCUGGCGGUAGGCCUAAUACAUGCAAGUCGAACGGACAGACAGUAAGAGCUCGCUCUUAAGGGUGGCGAGUGGCGGAUGGGUGAGGCAUACAUAGGCAUCUAAUUUUUCGUGGGGGAUAUCGUGGGGCCACUUACGAUACUACAGCAUACGACCUACGGCUGAAAGCAGCAGAUAUACGCACCUUGCCCGUUUGUUAGAGCCGACGCCGGAUUAGCUAGUUGGCGAGGUAACGGCACACCAAGGCAACGAUGCGUAGCUGAUCUGAGAGGAUGAUCGGCCACACUGGAACUGAGACACGGUCCAGACUCCUACGGGAGGCAGCAGUGGGGAAUAUUGGACAAUGGGCGCAAGCCUGAUCCAGCCAUACCGCGUGAGUGAAGAAGGUCUUCGGAUUGUAAAGCUCUGUUAUUGGGAAAGAAAAGCAGCAUGAUAAAACCCCGCUGUUCUGACGGUACCCAAUGAAAAAGCACCGGCUAACUUCGUG